Molecule: ribosomal RNA, 484 nt
Filed under: uncultured bacterium
Lineage: Bacteria
Description: partial 16S ribosomal RNA
Rfam family: Bacterial small subunit ribosomal RNA
Source: RNAcentral
AUUGAACGCUGGCGGCAGGCCUAACACAUGCAAGUCGAGCGGAUGAAGGGAGCUUGCUCCUGGAUUCAGCGGCGGACGGGUGAGUAAUGCCUAGGAAUCUGCCUGGUAGUGGGGGAUAACGUCCGGAAACGGGCGCUAAUACCGCAUACGUCCUGAGGGAGAAAGUGGGGGAUCUUCGGACCUCACGCUAUCAGAUGAGCCUAGGUCGGAUUAGCUAGUUGGUGGGGUAAAGGCCUACCAAGGCGACGAUCCGUAACUGGUCUGAGAGGAUGAUCAGUCACACUGGAACUGAGACACGGUCCAGACUCCUACGGGAGGCAGCAGUGGGGAAUCUUGGACAAUGGGCGAAAGCCUGAUCCAGCAAUGCCGCGUGUGUGAAGAAGGUCUUCGGAUGGUAAAGCACUUUAAGUUGGGAGGAAGGGCAGUAAGUUAAUACCUUGCUGUUUUGACGUUACCAACAGAGUAAGCAACGGCUAACUUCGUG